Molecule: ribosomal RNA, 253 nt
Filed under: uncultured bacterium
Lineage: Bacteria
Description: partial 16S ribosomal RNA
Rfam family: Bacterial small subunit ribosomal RNA
Source: RNAcentral
UACGGAGGGGGCUAGCGUUGUUCGGAAUUCCUGGGCGUAAAGCGCGCGUAGGCGGACCUGUAAGUCGGGGGUGAAAGCCCGAGGCUCAACCUCGGAACUGCCUUCGAUACUGCGGGUCUCGAGUCCGGGAGAGGUGAGUGGAAUUCCUAGUGUAGAGGUGAAAUUCGUAGAUAUUAGGAAGAACACCAGUGGCGAAGGCGGCUCACUGGCCCGGUACUGACGCUGAGGCGCGAAAGCGUGGGGAGCAAACAGG